Molecule: ribosomal RNA, 397 nt
Filed under: uncultured bacterium
Lineage: Bacteria
Description: partial 16S ribosomal RNA
Rfam family: Bacterial small subunit ribosomal RNA
Source: RNAcentral
AUACGGAGGAUCCGAGCGUUAUCCGGAUUUAUUGGGCUUAAAGGGUGCGUAGGCUGUUCGGAAAGUCAGGGGUGAAAGCCCGGCGCCUAACGCCGGAACUGCCUUUGAUACUUCCGAGCUGGAAUACGGAUGCCGUGGGAGGAAUGAGUAGUGUAGCGGUGAAAUGCAUAGAUAUUACUCAGAACACCGAUUGCGAAGGCAUCUCACGAAUCCGUCAUUGACGCUGAGGCACGAAAGCGUGGGGAUCAAACAGGAUUAGAUACCCUGGUAGUCCACGCAGUAAACGAUGAACACUGGCUGUCCGGAGGGAACGACCUCUGGGUGGCGUAGCGAAAGCGUUAAGUGUUCCACCUGGGGAGUACGCCGGCAACGGUGAAACUCAAAUGAAUUGACGGGG